UAGGGAAUCUUCCGCAAUGGGCGAAAGCUUGACGGAGCAACGCCGCGUGAGUGAUGAAGGUCUUCGGAUCGUAAAACUCUGUUAUUAGGGAAGAACAAAUGUGUAAGUAACUAUGCACGUCUUGACGGUACCUAAUCAGAAAGCCACGGCUAACUACGUGCCAGCAGCCGCGGUAAUACGUAGGUGGCAAGCGUUAUCCGGAAUUAUUGGGCGUAAAGCGCGCGUAGGCGGUUUUUUAAGUCUGAUGUGAAAGCCCACGGCUCAACCGUGGAGAGUCAUUGGAAACUGGAAAACUUGAGUGCAGAAGAGGAAAGUGGAAUUCCAUGUGUAGCGGUGAAAUGCGCAGAGAUAUGGAGGAACACCAGUGGCGAAGGCGACUUUCUGGUCUGUAACUGACGCUGAUGUGCGAAAGCGUGGGGAUCAAACAGG
This 429-nucleotide ribosomal RNA is filed under the name Actinomycetes bacterium. RNAcentral describes it as "Actinobacteria bacterium partial 16S ribosomal RNA". It matches the Rfam family "Bacterial small subunit ribosomal RNA", at positions 355 to 776 of the family's 1533-position model. Lineage: Bacteria; Bacillati; Actinomycetota; Actinomycetes. The record is from RNAcentral.